ACCUCAUUGAUCGGAAGGAAUUCCUUCCGGUCAAUGGGGUUGUUAUACCUCAUCAACCGGAAAAUCUAUCUGGUGGAUGAGGUAUAAUAACCUCAUUGGCCGGAAGGGAUUCCUUCCGGUUGAUGAGGU
RNAcentral lists this microRNA precursor (129 nucleotides) under Puccinia graminis f. sp. tritici CRL 75-36-700-3. RNAcentral describes it as "microRNA MIR807". The record is from RNAcentral. Lineage: Eukaryota; Fungi; Basidiomycota; Pucciniomycetes; Pucciniales; Pucciniaceae.